GCACUUUUUCCGCUUUUUGAAGUGGAAGAAAUUUCAAGAUCUGUGAUAUCUAGUAUUGAGGAUGUUUCUGCAAAGAAUGCAACAUCAUCACGGUGCAACUCCGAUGAUGCUUUUUGCCCUAGUGGUUGAAGAAGAGGAAGGAGGCAUCUUGCGCGAGAGAGAGAGAGAGGGCCGUAGUUUCUGAACUUCCAAUCCAAAUCGUCAAAUUUUCAUCAGGAGUUGUUUAAAUUAACUUCCAUAUGUAGGCUUUUGUAAUGAUAUUUUAAUUUUUAAAAUUAUUAUUAUUAUUAUUAUUAUUAUCUAACUACACUUUUGUUAUGAUUUUAGCGAAAAAGAUUUUUGUUGAAAAAAUUUCAAAGCAUUAGGGAAAAUGUCGAGGCAAAAUUAAUUACUUUCUAAUGGUGUUUACUUUUCCUUGUCUUUGCUUCUCUCUCCAAUCCAACCCAAAAGGAAAUUUGUUUUAUUUCUUCAAUUAUAAAUUUCAAACUAUAUGUAAUUAUUCAACCUAAUGUUUUAAAAGGUGAAGGCCUAAGGCAUUUUGGGACUGUAUUUUUUAAAAAUAAUAAAUAAAUAAAUAAAUUUAUAUAUAGUAUAAAGAUGAGAAAUAUUUUAGAAUAAUGGAGGGUCGCUGCAAAGAGAUGAAAGGCUGGAAGGAGUCGUUGGAGGCAGAUCAAAGCUUGGAAGGGACCCUCAAAUCGUGGAGUUGUCGGAGAUGGACGAGAAGCUUGGACGAAUCUUUGGAGGCAGUCGUUGAGUCGUUGGAGAGGGAGAAGAAGCUUUGCCGAGAGAGCAGAAGCUAUCGUCGGGGAGAAGACUCACUGGAGGCUUCGUCGAGAGCAGAAGCUUCGCCGAGAAAGCAGAAGCUAUUGUCGAGGAGAAGACUCACUGGAGGCUUCGUCAAGAGCAGAAGCUUCGCCGAGAGAGAAGCUUCGUCGAAGAGAGGGAGGAAAGGGUUUUAGAUUCAUUAUGGGUUCUUUCUUUUUUAAUUUAUGUAUUAAAUCAAGGAUCCCAACAUGCGUGCGGCUUUACAUUUGAGGCGUAAAAGGCGAGCAUUUUGACAUGAGGCGUAUGCCUUUCUAGAGUUGCACAUUUCCACUUAUGCCUUGGGGCAUUUUAGGCUCAAAUCGCUUGAGGCGCACCUCAAUAAUGCCUUUUAAAACACUGAUUCAACCAAAAAAAAAAAAAAAAUGAAUGCAAUUUUAUGUAAUUAUUAGAUUUUGUGUGAAUGAUUAAUGUAUUUUGUAUAUAAAAAAAAUUGAAUGCACUUGUAUGUAAUUGUUGGAUUUUGUGUGAAUGGUUAAUGUAUUUUGAAUAUAUGAUAUUUUGAUUUGGAUUUUUACAUGAUUUUGUUUGACAUGUAUGUAAUAUGUUAGGCAAAAAUCUU
Malania oleifera is the source of this 1384-nucleotide long non-coding RNA. RefSeq lists it as uncharacterized. Lineage: Eukaryota; Viridiplantae; Streptophyta; Magnoliopsida; Santalales; Ximeniaceae. The transcript has 2 exons. The record is from RefSeq and is a predicted model, not a curated record.